Drosophila willistoni is the source of this 716-nucleotide long non-coding RNA. RefSeq lists it as uncharacterized. The record is from RefSeq and is a predicted model, not a curated record. Lineage: Eukaryota; Metazoa; Arthropoda; Insecta; Diptera; Drosophilidae. The transcript is spliced from 2 exons.
UCUUGGCUUAUUUGCCUUUUCGAUCAACUAAAGUCGAAAGAAUCAUAAAAAUCGAAACAAAUGUCUUGUAAAUAUUUUUGGUAUAAAAUUUGCAUAAGUUUAAGUAAUUUAUAGUUAUACUCAAAGCAAUUGUUACGGUUUUGAUUAAAAUGCAUCCAUGUUUGAUAUUUCACAUUUGUGUUAUCCCUUUUGAGCCUGAGACCCGAAACGAGUACGCAUUCCUUUCUCAACGGAGCAUAAUUAUUAUCUGUGCAGCCGCACAAGUUCCUAUUAUGGUAUGGACCGGUUGUUGGCUGGCAUUUAUUGGCUUCGGCAACAGUUGACCCCCUCCAUCCGAGCCCAUUUGAUCCCAUUCCAUUUGCAGCACUAUCAGGAGGGGAAGCUCAAGAGUUGCUGCAUGGAAACAAAGUUUGCCCAGUUUUUUGAUAGCCAACGAGAGAAGCCACAAAUGAACUACAAAAACCGGGAAAACUGUUUCAAAGAAUCAGAGAAAGAGAGAGAGAGAGCGAGAGAGAGUGUAGAUAUGUGAACAUAUACACCAAAUCUAUGGUCAUCCCCCCCACUCACUCGUCUCGACUGUCUCGCUCCCAUCCCAAUCUUCUGGCCGUCAAUAAAUGGCCAUGGCAAUGGCAGUGGCCAUGGAGUUGAGUUUGGGGUUUGAGUUCAUGCUGCUUUUUCUCUAUGGUUCAAUAAUAAAAAUCACUUUUAUUGCUCAA